RNAcentral lists this ribosomal RNA (405 nucleotides) under uncultured prokaryote. Its description in RNAcentral is "bacterial SSU rRNA". It matches the Rfam family "Bacterial small subunit ribosomal RNA", at positions 355 to 774 of the family's 1533-position model. The record is from RNAcentral.
UGGGGAAUAUUGCGCAAUGGAGGAAACUCUGACGCAGCAACGCCGCGUGAGUGAAGAAGGUUUUCGGAUCGUAAAACUCUGUCUUUGGGGACGAAUAAAAUGACGGUACCCAAGGAGGAAGCCCCGGCUAACUACGUGCCAGCAGCCGCGGUAAUACGUAGGGGGCAAGCGUUGUCCGGAAUUACUGGGCGUAAAGAGUACGUAGGCGGUUUGUUAAGUUAGGGGUGAAAGUUUGCAGCUCAACUGUAAAAUGGCAUUUAAAACUGGCAGACUUGAGUCUCGGAGAGGUAAGCGGAAUUCCGAGUGUAGCGGUGAAAUGCGUAGAGAUUAGGAAGAACACCGGUGGCGAAGGCGGCUUACUGGACGAGUACUGACGCUCAGGUACGAAAGCGUGGGGAGCAAACA